Molecule: ribosomal RNA, 429 nt
Filed under: Lactococcus lactis
Lineage: Bacteria; Bacillati; Bacillota; Bacilli; Lactobacillales; Streptococcaceae
Description: bacterial SSU rRNA
Rfam family: Bacterial small subunit ribosomal RNA
Source: RNAcentral
CCCGCCCGGGGCGCGCCCCGGGCGGGGCGGGGGCACGGGGGGAACGCGAAGAACCUUACCAGGUCUUGACAUACUCGUGCUAUUCCUAGAGAUAGGAAGUUCCUUCGGGACACGGGAUACAGGUGGUGCAUGGUUGUCGUCAGCUCGUGUCGUGAGAUGUUGGGUUAAGUCCCGCAACGAGCGCAACCCCUAUUGUUAGUUGCCAUCAUUAAGUUGGGCACUCUAACGAGACUGCCGGUGAUAAACCGGAGGAAGGUGGGGAUGACGUCAAAUCAUCAUGCCCCUUAUGACCUGGGCUACACACGUGCUACAAUGGAUGGUACAACGAGUCGCGAGACAGUGAUGUUUAGCUAAUCUCUUAAAACCAUUCUCAGUUCGGAUUGUAGGCUGCAACUCGCCUACAUGAAGUCGGAAUCGCUAGUAAUCGCG